RNAcentral lists this ribosomal RNA (40 nucleotides) under Taylorella asinigenitalis. Its description in RNAcentral is "partial 23S ribosomal RNA". Lineage: Bacteria; Pseudomonadati; Pseudomonadota; Betaproteobacteria; Burkholderiales; Alcaligenaceae. The record is from RNAcentral.
GAUCAAGUGACUAAGUGCACAUGGUGGAUGCCUUGGCGAU